GCUUGAAAGGUUGCAGGUUCAGAUCCAACAAGGGAUCAUCUGUGAGCUAUUAAUGUUGUGUUCUUGAUUAAGGUUGAUUCAGAAGUGAUUAUUCUUGCAAAUCUUGUAAGUUCCUGUCACUCAACUGGAGGAACAUGACGCUAGCAAUGCCAAGAAAAGUGAAGCCGCCGAUGUCCCAAUAUGGCGCUGACAUCUUGUGCUGAUUUGGGAAAUGAGUCUGCGCAGUAGUGAACUUGGGACCCGAUUCUGUGCAGUAUUCAGAGCAACGAUGGACCAUUUCAAACUAUGUACUUUUGGGGGUCCUGCACCAACAGAGCAACUUUCAUUGAGAUGAUUGGAAAUCAAACAGAAAGUUUCAUCAGGAACUACUUUAUUGCUCAUCCCCUGAUUGUGACCUCUCGUCUGCUUUCAAGGCUACUAUAUGUUUUAAUUUUAUGAAAAAGACCAGUGUUAACAUUCUUCAAAAGUCCUCUCAUCUCAUGGUCUCAUCUCAAGGGAUCCAUGAAGAAAGUCAGUCAUACCGGUUUGGAACAACAUAAAGGUGGGACAUUCAUCUAGACAUUCUUCAAAUAUCAUCUUUUGUGUUCCACAGAAGAAAAAAAAUAAUAGGAAUUUGGAAUGACAUGAAGAUUUUGUGGACCCACUGUUGAAGCCCUCUGAAGUAGACUAAACCACACAGGAGUCUACAGGACUACAUGUGGAAGGACACAUUUUCUCCGAAUGACUCGUGCUUGGAAUGAAAUGCAACGUGAGGGGAAGACUGGUAAAUUUCAAAAAUUCUCAGUGAUCAAAAUCAGUUUGAGUCAUGUAUUUUAAGCUGAAGUCAUGUUUGCAGUUUAUUUAAUUUAAUAGACUAUUGGCACACUUCGAGCAGACAGGACUAGUGAUGUCAUCACAGCAGCUGUCCCCGUUUUCAUGCUGGUUUUGGCAGACUUUGUCUCAAAUUUAACUGGCCCACUUAUUGCCCCACCUGUCCAAUGCUCCAGUACUGUGAUGGUACCAAUUCAUCAGUUUAGAUUGACUCAUUUAGACCAGUAUACAGUUUAUCCACAUCUACAUGAUUUAAAAAACACUCUUAUGAAUGUGCAAAAUCCAGACCCCUGGCUUGCUGCCCAUAUAAAUAUAUACAUUCAGCAUGAAGCAUGAAAGGUUUAAGGGACAAUUUGAGAUGGAGCACCAAUUAAUCGCAAUCAAACCUUUCCAGUACGUUUGAUAUUAAUCCAACAUUCCCUCUUAAAGAAAUACAACACAUUGUCGUCUUUGGCUUGCUAAGGGUUUAAAAGACACUUAAAGGGUUAGUUCACACAAAAAUGAAAAUUUCCUGUUAAUUUACUCACCCACAGGCCAUCCAAGAUGUAGGUGUCUUUUUUUCUUCAGUAGAACAGUAAAGAAGAUUUUUAGCUGAAACUGUGGUUCUUGGUGAUUUUUAUAAUGUAAGUCAAUGGCUACCGUCACUUUGAGAAUCCAAAAAAACAUAUACAGGCAAAACUAAAUUGAUACCCGUGGCUCCUGAUGAUUCACCGAGGUCUUUAGAAGCAAAACGAUCGGUCUGUGCAAGAAACUGAACAUUAUUUAGAACAUUAUUACCUCUAAUCCACAGCCUCUGCAAAUGGUCCAGAACGCUUUCACGGCAGUCUGGAGCGCGAUCUUCCUCUCGCAUAAUGACGUAGCGCCACCUACUGGUCUGGAGAUACGAAAAAUGGCUAUUAUUGCUUAUUACUUCAGAAAGGUUUUAUCCAAUUUUCACAUAUUGGCCAUUUUGGGCAUUGGCCAUUUUGAAUUUUGUAGUAAAAUGCUGUAUUUUACGAACGCAUUAACGUAUCAUUGCGAAACUCGGUAUGGGUCAUCAGCACGAUGCCCUGAAGGAGUCUGAGAAGUUUCGGAUCAGUGCCACCUAGUUUAUAAUUGUGCUUAUUGUGCUUAUAACCCUCCUUGGAUUCCUGAAUGCUGAGUCCAACGAUACCAAACAUGUUAGGUUUCGCCUUAUGGUUAGUGCAAUGUUGUGAUUUAGUGUUUAGCGUUAACCGUUAGUCCAGUUGAGACAAAACCACCGUAGAAAAGUCAGAAACAUAGGUCAUUGACUACAUGUUAAUGGCCAAAUGUCAUAAUUUUGACAGUAAGUGGCAAAAAACGCAAUCAAAGUCAGGUGUGGGUAAUUUUUUAUGUGUUCAUACAUAUAAAUGUCUAUAAAUUAGAUAUUUCCACCAAAUGGGGGCACUCUGAGGACAGUUACCGUGAUUUUGCCAAGUAAGACAUGUUCCUGGAUCAACAUAUUUUGUUGAUCCUGGAACAACAUUCCUGUCCGAAAAUUUAGUCUUAACCCUAUUCCUACCCCUAAACCUAAUCCUGCCCAUAACUUAUCCCUAAAAUCAGAGGGGAAAGAUAGGUGAAUAACAUUGAUGUAGAAGCACCUAACCCUGGUUGUAAGCCUAAACUUGACAUAAACAGUAAACUAGUCCCUCAAAUAUGAUUGGUUGAUUGGAAUGUUGUUCCAGGAUGUUGUACUUGGUGAAAUCACAUUCACCCUCUGAGGACACACAAAAAAAAAAGCAGUGGGACUGCACCACUUGAUGGCGCUAUAAUUGAAUAAAACAUGAAAUUGGCGCUAACUACAGUACUGUUGAUCUGAUUGACUUCAAAUUUGUAUCAGUUGCUAUCAAAGUCCAUUAUGACAUUGUUGGUCUGCUGCUAGCUUCCUUGUUUGCUUCUGUUGUGCUUGGCCCCUUAAUUGCUGCUUGCAGCUAUAUUUCAACUUAGUUUCAUAAUUGACGAAUUUUGCAACAACUGAAUUGAACACUUAACUGAAUUGAGUUGACAAACAACUGCUUUAUAGUGGAAUUGAACUCAUUUCAUAGUUGGUGAACUUUACACAGUUUUUAAACUGAACUGAAUCAAUGCUGAACUGACUUCAGCUGAAUAAUGACACAAUUGCCUUCUGUAGAGCUGCUUUACAGAAGAAUUUGAAUUUCUCAUUUAUCAUCAUGUCUUGUUGUUUUCCUGUUUAUUACUGUGAAGCUGCUUUGAAACAUUCUGCAUUGUAUAUAAAGCACUAUAUAAAUAAAGGUGACUUGACUUGAUUUAUAAUAAAUAACACAAAACUGGUUUCGGGUCAGCGUGCAAGGUUGGCGAGCAUCGUCACCGUCCCGUUCAGGUUUAAGGUCAUGAGCAUUGUCUUUGGGCUGAAUGGAAUCAAUAUGAUUGCCCGGUGUUUUGUAAUUAAUCUGCAGAGGGCCUUUGAGGCACCAGAGGCCCAGAGGAAGACAGGAUGAAGGACACACUAAUUAAGGACCGCGCAAGACCACAGGACGUUUGCUGCUGUGCUGUGCCUGCUGCCUCUGCAUUUGAUUGUUAUUCAUCUUGAAUGCUGCCCGAUGACUUGAAUAUGUGGGCUAAAUAUGUACAUACUAAUGCAGUCUGGGGCGGACAGCAAUCCGACUCAAAUGGGUAUUAUACAGGUCUAUUUUAACCACUGUAUGUGGCUGAAUGGUUUGCGCGUGGUCUAUUCGCAUUGAAUGCAUGCCCGGAGGAACAUUUUAUUGCUCAGAGGUUACUGUUUCAUAGCUCAGGAGUCUUAAAGGAGUUUAAAAGUCAACCUUGUCUGAUAUUUUUCUUAAAAUUCCUUAUGAUAGAAACAAAUAGUGUGUAUAUAGAGUUCAAAAGUUUGGGUUCUGGCAAGUGCUCUCCAAGGCUGCAUUUAUUUGAUCAAAAAUACAGUAAAAAUGGUAAUAUUGUGAAAUAUUAUUAUUAUAUAACUGUUUUUUUUUAUACAUUUUAAAAUGUAUUCCUGUGAUGAUAAAACUGAAUUUUCAGUCUUCAGUGUCACAUGGUCCUUCAGAAAUCAUUAUAAUAUGUAACAUUUCUUAUUAUUGUUAAUGUUGAAAACAGUUGUGCUGCUUAAUUUUUUUUUUUUGUGGCAGCUGCAUAUAAAAUUCUAGAAUUCAAGAUUCAAGAAUAGAAAGUUCAAAAGAACAGCAUUUAUUUAAAAUAGAAAUCUUCUGUAACAAAUAUCUUUAUCACUUUUGAUCAAUUUAAUGCAUCCUUUCUGAAUAAAAAUAUUAAUUAUUAUUAUUAUUAUUUUUUAUUUUAUUUAUUUAUUUAU
Ctenopharyngodon idella (grass carp) is the source of this 4099-nucleotide long non-coding RNA. RefSeq lists it as uncharacterized. The record is from RefSeq and is a predicted model, not a curated record. The transcript is spliced from 6 exons. NCBI's taxonomy places the organism in Eukaryota, Metazoa, Chordata, Actinopteri, Cypriniformes, Xenocyprididae.